Long non-coding RNA from Sapajus apella (tufted capuchin), 93 nucleotides. RefSeq lists it as uncharacterized. The record is from RefSeq and is a predicted model, not a curated record. The transcript has 3 exons. Lineage: Eukaryota; Metazoa; Chordata; Mammalia; Primates; Cebidae.
AGUCCCAGCUACUUGGGAGGCUGAGCAGGAAGGAUUACUUCAGCUCAAGAGUUUUAGGCUGCCAUGAACUAUCAUUGUUCUACUGCACUCCAG